UUUAAAGGGGCACUAGCUGUCAAAUUCAUGGUCACCGAUUUUACUCAAAUUCUCAUAUUUGAUUUAUAACAAUGUAAAACAUUUAUCCAAACUAUCAAAAGUCUAAAAUAAACAGUUUACAGAGCAUGGGGUAGAUAAUAUAUAGGUUCGUUUCGUGUGCAUUUUAGUCCAGACGCCAUCUUAGGAGGCGGAGCCAAAUUAUCUCCAUGAAAAUGAGAUUUGCCAAUGCUUAUACAACUGCAUACCAAGUAUCAUUGACCUACCACUUGUGGUUCCCCAUAAACUGACCUAAUCACAAACUAAUACAUGUUAAAUAAGCAAAAGUUUCGAAGCCAAUAGACCAUUACUGAGGGGACAAGGCCAAAUAAUCUCCAUGGAAAUGAGAUGUGCCAAUGCUG
RNAcentral lists this long non-coding RNA (398 nucleotides) under Mytilus galloprovincialis (Mediterranean mussel). The record is from RNAcentral. Lineage: Eukaryota; Metazoa; Mollusca; Bivalvia; Mytilida; Mytilidae.